Molecule: ribosomal RNA, 459 nt
Filed under: uncultured bacterium
Lineage: Bacteria
Description: partial 16S ribosomal RNA
Rfam family: Bacterial small subunit ribosomal RNA
Source: RNAcentral
CCUACGGGUGGCAGCAGUGAGGAAUAUUGGUCAAUGGCCGCAGGGCUGAACCAGCCAAGUCGCGUGAGGGAUGACGGUCCUAUGGAUUGUAAACCUCUUUUGCCAGGGAGAAAAGGGCGCCACGUGUGGCGCUUUGCGAGUACCUGAAGAAAAAGCAUCGGAAAAAUCCGUGCCAGCAGCCGCGGUAAUACGGGGGAUGCGAGCGUUAUCCGGAUUGAGUGGGUUUAAAGGGUGGUCAGGAGGAAUGUCAAGUCAGAGGUAAAAUUUCGGGGCUCAACCCCGUCGUGCCUUUGAAACUGGCGAUCUUGAGUGAGCGAGAGGUAUGCGGAAUGCGUGGUGUAGCGGUGAAAUGCGUAGAUAUCACGCAGAACUCCGAUUGCGAAGGCAGCAUACCGGCGCUCAACUGACGCUCAUGCACGAAAGCGUGGGUAUCGAACAGGAUUAGAUACCCCUGUAGUC